CUCUCUCUCUCUCUCUACUUUGAUAAGCUUAAUUAGGGCUCAAUCAGAAGAGAAGAACUAGCAGAUCAAGAAUCUACAUAUAAUCAAGCAAGAUUAUUACAAGGUCUCACCAAAGAAAAAGAAGAAAGAGGUCCCGACAGAUCAAGCUCGGGGAUACCAAUACCAUGAAGAUCCAUACCCUGAUGUUCUUGCUCAAGAAGGGAAGACAAAAAACCCUAUCUGUGAGAUAAAGAUCCACGGUAGGGUUUCGAUCUUGUUUAUGAGAAGUGGGUUUCAUGGGAUCUAUAUACGCAAUGAUCUGGUUCUGAUAAUCUUUUUAUCUGGGGAAUGGAAGCAUCACGGUCCGAUCCGGUUUUAUAUACACAUAUAUAUAUAUAUAUAUAUGAUAUAUUAUUUUCGAGACAGAUUCUAUAUAUAUCUCGUGUAUGGCUUUGUUUGUUUGAAGAGUUCAUGUUUGUUCUUGAGUUUGUAUCUUGGCAUGUAUGCGUAUUAGUUAUAAUAUAUUUGCAGGUGAAUAGGUAAGUUUCUUUCAUAACUCCAUAUGCAUAUGAUAUGAUGUUUUCACAUGGGUAUGUUUGUGUUUACUCCUAAGUAGUAAAACACUUUCAUCCAUACACAUAUACGCAUGCAUGUAUGUACGCAUACUCACAUAUAUAUGUGCAUAUAUACAUAUAUGGACCCAUUUUAUGUACUCUCCUUUCCUUUUUGGCUGUUGUUGUAUUUGAGUACGGGUUCAUGAUUCAA
Tarenaya hassleriana is the source of this 744-nucleotide long non-coding RNA. RefSeq lists it as uncharacterized. The transcript has 2 exons. Lineage: Eukaryota; Viridiplantae; Streptophyta; Magnoliopsida; Brassicales; Cleomaceae. The record is from RefSeq and is a predicted model, not a curated record.